GACGGAAGGUGCAAGCGUUGCUCGGAAUCACUGGGCGUAAAGGGUGCGUAGGCGGCCGUGCAAGUCUGGCGUGAAAGCCCCGGGCUCAGCCCGGGAAGUGCGCUCGAAACUGCGCGGCUCGAGUGCCGGAGGGGAGAGUGGAACUGCGAGUGUAGAGGUGAAAUUCGUAGAUAUUCGCAAGAACACCGGUGGCGAAGGCGGCUCACUGGCCCGGUACUGACGCUGAGGUGCGAAAGCGUGGGGAGCAAACAGG
Molecule: ribosomal RNA, 253 nt
Filed under: uncultured bacterium
Lineage: Bacteria
Description: partial 16S ribosomal RNA
Rfam family: Bacterial small subunit ribosomal RNA
Source: RNAcentral